Molecule: small nuclear RNA, 173 nt
Filed under: Meriones unguiculatus (Mongolian gerbil)
Lineage: Eukaryota; Metazoa; Chordata; Mammalia; Rodentia; Muridae
Description: U1 spliceosomal RNA (ENSMUGG00000003375.1)
Rfam family: U1 spliceosomal RNA
About the family: U1 is a small nuclear RNA (snRNA) component of the spliceosome (involved in pre-mRNA splicing). Its 5' end forms complementary base pairs with the 5' splice junction, thus defining the 5' donor site of an intron.
Source: RNAcentral
AAUCCAAUCUGUGUGGAGGAAAGGAGUGACUCCAUGAUGAUGAUGGAGAUUGUCUUCCCAGGAUGUGGUUCACCCAUUGCACUCUGUGUGUGCUGACCCCAGCAAUUUUUCCAAAUAGAGGAAACUUGACUACGUGAUUUGUGAAGUAUAGGGACUGUGUGCACACUCUCCAC